AGAUUGAACGCUGGCGGCAGGCCUAACACAUGCAAGUCGAGCGGCAGCACGGGUACUUGUACCUGGUGGCGAGCGGCGGACGGGUGAGUAAUGCCUAGGAAUCUGCCUGAUAGUGGGGGGAUAACGUUCGGAAACGGACGCUAAUACCGCAUACGUCCUACGGGAGAAAGUGGGGGAUCUUCGGACCUCACGCUAUCAGAUGAGCCUAGGUCGGAUUAGCUAGUUGGUAGGGUAAAGCCUACCAAGGCUACGAUCCGUAACUGGUCUGAGAGGAUGAUCAGUCACACUGGAACUGAGACACGGUCCAGACUCCUACGGGAGGCAGCAGUGGGGAAUAUUGGACAAUGGGCGAAAGCCUGAUCCAGCCAUGCCGCGUGUGUGAAGAAGGUCUUCGGAUUGUAAAGCACUUUAAGUUGGAGAAGGACAGUUAACCUAAUACGUUAGUGUUUUGACGUUUACCGACAGAAUAAAGCAACCGGCUAAACGUCUGUGCCAGCAGCCG
Molecule: ribosomal RNA, 502 nt
Filed under: uncultured soil bacterium
Lineage: Bacteria
Description: bacterial SSU rRNA
Rfam family: Bacterial small subunit ribosomal RNA
Source: RNAcentral